ACAGAACCCAACAGAGCGACUGUAACCAUGGCGGAAGAGGAAGUUAAGUACGCUUCGGUUGUAUUCAAAAGUAAGAAACAUCCUCCACCCCAAGCCUUCUGAAGCAGAAGUCCAGUAAAGAGCAUCACAGCAGACCAGACUGCCUCCUAACAGCUCUCAUACAGGACUGCAGCAGGACUUUAAACAUUUGUUCAGGAUGAACAGAAAUCCACAGGAGGAAACUAGUACUUUAACAUAUUCUGUUUAUGUGUCUGCAUGUAAGACAUUAUCUACUAUAUGUAUUUAUGUACCACAAUGUUGUCUACAUUUGUGUUUGAUGUUUAUUUUUCAGAGGAAAUCAGAGAAGACGAUAACUAUGGUAAUGCUCCAGCCUGUACUUUGGAUGAAGUGGCAGCCCCUCCAGACCAGAGGUCUCUCUUCUUCUCUCAGUCUUUUCCACUGAUAGCAGUGUGUUGGCUGAUACUGUUAGUCAUCAUGGUCCUUCGUAUCCACUUUACUUCUGUCAUUUCUGAAAACGACACCAAGCUGACGGCAGAAAUCCAGAACCUGACUGCAGUAAACCAGCAGCUGGAGACACAGAGGAACAACUUAACAGAAGAAAUACAAAACAUGGAGACAAACUAGAAUAAAGUGAAACAAUGUAAAGCUUGUCAGGAGGGCUUGAAAUGCACAGAGUCUAACUGCUAUGCGAUUAAUAACGCUGCUCUUGAUGAUCGGAAAACCUGGGAAGAAGCUCGAGAAGACUGCAGAG
This is a long non-coding RNA of Perca fluviatilis (European perch), 751 nucleotides long. RefSeq lists it as uncharacterized. The record is from RefSeq and is a predicted model, not a curated record. The transcript is spliced from 5 exons. NCBI's taxonomy places the organism in Eukaryota, Metazoa, Chordata, Actinopteri, Perciformes, Percidae.